Molecule: ribosomal RNA, 509 nt
Filed under: uncultured bacterium
Lineage: Bacteria
Description: bacterial SSU rRNA
Rfam family: Bacterial small subunit ribosomal RNA
Source: RNAcentral
UUGAACGCUGGCGGCAUGCCUUACACAUGCAAGUCGAACGGCAGCACAGGUGCUUGCACCUGGUGGCGAGUGGCGAACGGGUGAGUAAUACAUCGGAACGUACCUUAUCGUGGGGGAUAACGCAGCGAAAGCUGUGCUAAUACCGCAUACGCCCUGAGGGGGAAAGCGGGGGAUCGAAAGACCUCGCGCGAUUAGAGCGGCCGAUGCCUGAUUAGCUUGUUGGUGGGGUAAAAGCCCACCAAGGCGACGAUCAGUAGCUGGUCUGAGAGGACGAUCAGCCACACUGGGACUGAGACACGGCCCAGACUCCUACGGGAGGCAGCAGUGGGGAAUUUUGGACAAUGGGGGAAACCCUGAUCCAGCAAUGCCGCGUGAGUGAAGAAGGCCUUCGGGUUGUAAAGCUCUUUUGUCAGGGAAGAAACACCGGCUCUAACACAGUCCGGGAAUGACGGUACCUGAAGAAUAAGCACCGGCUAACUACGUGCCAGCCGCCGCGGUAAUACAAUCGG